AAAAAAGAAAAAGAAAAAAAAAAAGAAAAGAGAAAAGGGCGAAAAAAAAAAAGAAUAGGGGAAGAAAAAAAGGCCGGGUGCAAAGCGAAAAAGAAAGAACGAGGACCGCGCUUUUGAUAGGAUACAGACGUAAUGGUGGACAGCGACCCGUCUUGAAACACGGACCAAGGAGUCGACCGGCGACACGAGUGUUCGGGCGUCAAACCCGGGCGCGCAAUGAAAGUGAACGGAGGUGGGAGCCCCCGGGCGCACCAUCGACCGAUCCUGAUGUCUUCGGAUGGAUUUGAGUACGAGCGCCGCCGGUCGGACCCGAAAGAUGGUGAGCUAUACGUGGAUAGGGUGAAGCCAGAGGAAACUCUGGUGGAGGCUCGCAGCGGUUCUGACGUGCAAAUCGAUCGUCAAAUCUGCGUAUAGGGGCGAAAGACUAAUCGAACCAUCUAGUAGCUGGUUCCUGUCGAAGUUUCCCUCAGGAUAGCAGCAACGAAAACAGUCUCAUGAGGUAGAGCGAACGAUUAGAGGCCUUGGGGCAGAAACUGCCUUAACCUAUUCUCGAACUUCGAAUAUGUGAGAAGUCCCUGUUACUUGAUGAACGGGGACACUGGAUGUCGUCUUCAAAAAAAAAAAAAAAAAC
Molecule: ribosomal RNA, 631 nt
Filed under: Diploschistes euganeus
Lineage: Eukaryota; Fungi; Ascomycota; Lecanoromycetes; Ostropales; Graphidaceae
Description: partial 28S large subunit ribosomal RNA
Rfam family: Eukaryotic large subunit ribosomal RNA
Source: RNAcentral